This 497-nucleotide ribosomal RNA is filed under the name uncultured bacterium. RNAcentral's name for it is "partial 16S ribosomal RNA". It matches the Rfam family "Bacterial small subunit ribosomal RNA", at positions 28 to 507 of the family's 1533-position model. The record is from RNAcentral.
GAUGAACGCUGGCGGCGUGCCUAAUACAUGCAAGUCGAGCGAACAGACGAGGAGCUUGCUCCUCUGACGUUAGCGGCGGACGGGUGAGUAACACGUGGAUAACCUACCUAUAAGACUGGGAUAACUUCGGGAAACCGGAGCUAAUACCGGAUAAUAUAUUGAACCGCAUGGUUCAAUAGUGAAAGACGGUUUUGCUGUCACUUAUAGAUGGAUCCGCGCCGCAUUAGCUAGUUGGUAAGGUAACGGCUUACCAAGGCGACGAUGCGUAGCCGACCUGAGAGGGUGAUCGGCCACACUGGAACUGAGACACGGUCCAGACUCCUACGGGAGGCAGCAGUAGGGAAUCUUCCGCAACGGGCGAAAGCUUGACGGAGCAACGCCGCGUGAGUGAUGAAGGUCUUCGGAUCGUAAAACUCUGUUAUUAGGGAAGAACAAAUGUGUAAGUAACUAUGCACGUCUUGACGGUACCUAAUCAGAAAGCCACGGCUAACUACGUG